Long non-coding RNA from Pecten maximus, 1698 nucleotides. RefSeq lists it as uncharacterized. The record is from RefSeq and is a predicted model, not a curated record. The transcript has 2 exons. Lineage: Eukaryota; Metazoa; Mollusca; Bivalvia; Pectinida; Pectinidae.
UACACAAAGGACCUACCCAGCAUUCACUUCCGGUAGCGACCGCGAAAUUUGAAUGAGUACGUAAAGAGUUAACUCGAUGGCUAGUUUUAUCAGCAGAAUAAAAUUCAGCUUCCUUAUGUGUUGUAAAAUGAUGAUCCUUUCAGGCUAGAGUUUCAGACAUUGGUCAAUGACCAUUGGAUGAGGUUUAUACCAUUCUGAUCAACACAUUAAAUAAUUCUGUCCAGUUUAUGGCCAUAAUCAGGGUGAUGUUAUAAAGUUCACAUCAUCUAUCAAUAUUAAUAUCAGUAUAGCAUAGGAGUACUUACAUUGACUAAAAUACGAUAUACAGAAGAUUUAAGCUUGGCAUAAUAUUUCACUUGGAUUGCUAAAUCAGGCAAAUGGGUCUUUUUGUCUCGUAAUGUGUUGUAAAAUGAUGAUCCUUUCAGGCUAGAGUUUCAGACAUUGGUCAGCAAUGACCAUUGGAUGAGGUUUAUACCAUUCUGAUCAACACAUUAAAUAAUUCUGUCCAGUUUAUGGCCAUAAUCAGGGUGAUGGUGUUUUAAAGUUCACAUCAACUAUCAAUAUUAAUAUCAGUAUAGCAUAGGAGUACUUUCAUUGACUAAAAUACGAUAUACAAAAGAUUUAAAUACGAUAUACAAAAGAUUUAAGCUUGGCAUAAUAUUUCUCUUGGAUUACUUUAUCAAGCAAAUGGGUCUUUUUGUCACGUAAUGUGUUGUAUAAUGAUGAUCCUUUCAGGCUAGAGUUUCAGACAUUGGUCAGCAGUGACCAUUGGAUGAGGUUUAUACCAUUCUGAUCAACACAUUUAAUCAUUCUGUCCAGUUUAUAACCAUAAUCAGGGUGAUGUUGUUUAAAAGUUCACAUUAUCUAUCAGUAUGAAUAUCCUUAUAUCAUAGGAGUACUUUCAUUGUCUAUAAACACUACUAUAUAUAGUGAAAGAUAUAUAUAGAAAGAUUUAAGCUGAGCAUAAUAUUCCUCUUGAAUUACUUAAUCAAGCAAAUGGGUCUUUUUGUCUUGCAAUGUGUUGUAAAAUGAUGAUCCUUUCAGGCUAGAGUUUCAGACAUUGGUCAGCAAUGACCAUUGGAUGAGGUUUAUACCACUCUGAUCAACACAUUUAAUCAUUCUGUCCAGUUUAUAACCAUAAUCAGGGUGAUGUUGUUUAAAGUUCACAUUAUCUAUCAGUAUGAAUAUCCUUAUAGCAUAGGAGUACUUUCAUAGACUAUAAAAACACUUUAUAUAUAGUGAAAGAUAUAUAUAGAAAGAUUUAAGCUUUGCAUAAUAUUCCUAAUUACUAAUUCAAGCAAAUGGGUCUUUUUGUCACGUAAUGUGUUGGAUAUGAUGAUCCUUUCAGGCUAGAGUUUCAGACAUUGGUCAGCAGUGACCAAUGAAUGAGGCAGAUACGACUCUGAUCAACACAUUAAAUAAUUCUGUCCAGUUUAUGGCUAUAAUCAGGGUGAUGGUGUUUUAAAGUUCACAUCAACUAUCAAUAUUAAUAUCAGUAUAGCAUAGGAGUACUUUCAUUGACUAAAAUAAAACAAUCUACAAAAGAUUUAAGCUUGGCAUAAUAUCUCUCUUAAAUUACUAAAUCAAGCAAAUGGGUCUUUUUGUCUCGUAAUGUGUUUUAAAAUGAUGAUCCUUUCAGGCUAGAGUUUCAGACAUUGGUCAGUGACCAUUGGAUGAGGUUUAUACCACUCUGAUCAA